UAGGGAAUCUUCCGCAAUGGGCGAAAGCCUGACGGAGCAACGCCGCGUGAGUGAUGAAGGUCUUCGGAUCGUAAAACUCUGUUAUUAGGGAAGAACAAAUGUGUAAGUAACUAUGCACGUCUUGACGGUACCUAAUCAGAAAGCCACGGCUAACUACGUGCCAGCAGCCGCGGUAAUACGUAGGUGGCAAGCGUUAUCCGGAAUUAUUGGGCGUAAAGCGCGCGUAGGCGGUUUUUUAAGUCUGAUGUGAAAGCCCACGGCUCAACCGUGGAGGGUCAUUGGAAACUGGAAAACUUGAGUGCAGAAGAGGAAAGUGGAAUUCCAUGUGUAGCGGUGAAAUGCGCAGAGAUAUGGAGGAAUACCAGUGGCGAAGGCGACUUUCUGGUCUGUAACUGACGCUGAUGUGCGAAAGCGUGGGGAUCAAACAGG
RNAcentral lists this ribosomal RNA (429 nucleotides) under Actinomycetes bacterium. RNAcentral describes it as "Actinobacteria bacterium partial 16S ribosomal RNA". It matches the Rfam family "Bacterial small subunit ribosomal RNA", at positions 355 to 776 of the family's 1533-position model. Lineage: Bacteria; Bacillati; Actinomycetota; Actinomycetes. The record is from RNAcentral.